AUUGAACGCUGGCGGCAGGCCUAACACAUGCAAGUCGAACGGUAACAGGAAACAGCUUGCUGUUUCGCUGACGAGUGGCGGACGGGUGAGUAAUGUCUGGGAAACUGCCUGAUGGAGGGGGAUAACUACUGGAAACGGUAGCUAAUACCGCAUAACGUCGCAAGACCAAAGAGGGGGACCUUCGGGCCUCUUGCCAUCGGAUGUGCCCAGAUGGGAUUAGCUAGUAGGUGGGGUAACGGCUCACCUAGGCGACGAUCCCUAGCUGGUCUGAGAGGAUGACCAGACACACUGGAACUGAGACACGGUCCAGACUCCUACGGGAGGCAGCAGUGGGGAAUAUUGCACAAUGGGCGCAAGCCUGAUGCAGCCAUGCCGCGUGUAUGAAGAAGGCCUUCGGGUUGUAAAGUACUUUCAGCGGGGAGGAAGGGAGUAAAGUUAAUACCUUUACUCAUUGACGUUACCCGCAGAAGAAGCACCGGCUAACUCCGUG
RNAcentral lists this ribosomal RNA (490 nucleotides) under uncultured bacterium. Its description in RNAcentral is "partial 16S ribosomal RNA". It matches the Rfam family "Bacterial small subunit ribosomal RNA", at positions 30 to 507 of the family's 1533-position model. The record is from RNAcentral.